Molecule: transfer RNA, 70 nt
Filed under: Loxodonta africana (African savanna elephant)
Lineage: Eukaryota; Metazoa; Chordata; Mammalia; Proboscidea; Elephantidae
Rfam family: tRNA
About the family: Transfer RNA (tRNA) molecules are approximately 80 nucleotides in length.
Source: Rfam by way of RNAcentral
GCGUUGGUGGUUCAGUGGUAGAAUUCUCACCUUCCAUGAAGAGAUCUGGGUUCGAUUCUCGGCCAAUACA